This 419-nucleotide ribosomal RNA is filed under the name uncultured bacterium. Its description in RNAcentral is "bacterial SSU rRNA". It matches the Rfam family "Bacterial small subunit ribosomal RNA", at positions 359 to 776 of the family's 1533-position model. The record is from RNAcentral.
GAAUAUUGGGCAAUGGAAGAGAUUCUGACCCAGCCAUGCCGCGUGCAGGAAGAAGGCCUUCUGGGUUGUAAACUGCUUUUAUCUGGGAAGGAAACGCUCCUGCGGGGGUAACUGACGGUACCAGAUGAAUAAGCACCGGCUAACUCCGUGCCAGCAGCCGCGGUCAUACGGAGGGGGCAAGCGUUGUCCGGAUUUAUUGGGUUUAAAGGGUGCGUAGGCGGCCCGUUAAGUCAGUGGUGAAAUCCCAGGGCUCAACCCUGGAACUGCCAUUGAUACUGACGGGCUUGAGUUCGGUUAAGGCGGGCGGAACUGGUGGUGUAGCGGUGAAAUGCAUAGAUACCACCAAGAACCCCGAUUGCGUAGGCAGCUCGCUGAGCCGAAACUGACGCUGAGGCACGAAAGCGUGGGGAGCGAACAGG